Molecule: long non-coding RNA, 206 nt
Filed under: Capsicum annuum
Lineage: Eukaryota; Viridiplantae; Streptophyta; Magnoliopsida; Solanales; Solanaceae
Description: long non-coding RNA (CANN_LNC003379)
Source: RNAcentral
GUAUUGACAAAACAUGGAAAUGAGUGAAUGUUGAGAAUGACUAGAAUAUCAUGCAUGCUUGGGGAGGGGAAUAUGCACUUUUAGAUUCAAUAAAUGUUCAAGUCAUCAAUAUCUAAGAUCAAGCAAAGAAUAUCCAAAAAAGAGAAGAAGAAGAUAAAUAUAGAUAACUCACCAAUAUAUGCAGAGAUUGAAGAACAGGACAGGAA